Molecule: long non-coding RNA, 315 nt
Filed under: Citrus sinensis (sweet orange)
Lineage: Eukaryota; Viridiplantae; Streptophyta; Magnoliopsida; Sapindales; Rutaceae
Description: long non-coding RNA (CSIN_LNC000576)
Source: RNAcentral
GGAUUAUUCUCUCGUUCAAUCUCAAUAACGAUCAUGAUGCAGCCAGCGCCCGGAGCGGUCCCACCCCCGCCACCACCGAUGGCCGCUCACCAGUACCAAUACCAACAACAGGCGCCGCCUCAGCAGCAGCCGCCACCGCAACCCUCGCCGUACAUGAUGAUGAUGCCGCCUCAGCCCCAGGCCCAGCCUCCUGCCAUGUGGGCCACGCAGGCUGCUGCUCCUCAGGCGGCGGGAGUUGCGGUACCACCUCAGCAGCAGGGUCAGCCCGGUGAGAUCCGGACCCUGUGGAUCGGGGACUUGCAGUAUUGGAUGGAU